CCCUGCGAGCUCGCCGGGAGGGUUUGGAACUUGCUGGGCUGAGCCGCCCGCCCCCAGGCAGCCUGCCUACGCCCUGCCCCGGCCGGCCAUGCCUCUGACCCAGCCAGCGACCUUGACGCCGUCUCCCCUAACGGUACCGCCUGGCGCACGCGGUCCCGAGCAGAAGGACUUGGCUCGGAAUUCCACUCCUGCCACUAACUACCUGUGUGACGCCGACGGAGGCAGUUCGUGUCGGCGAGCUUCAGUUUCCUCAGCGAUAAAAUGAAGUCGUUUAUGCCAACUCCAAACGCUAUUCUCCCUUCUGCAGAGUGGAUCGGAGGGACUCCAUUCUCCUUUCCCAAGCAGGCUCCCUCCUCAGUUAACGCCGACUCUCGGAGAAUAGGUUAAAGGGCUCCCGACGCUUGGGGACAAACAGAAGCCUGGCCUGAAGUGGAAGGUUACAGCUGGCGUUAUUUCUUUGUUAUUGUCAUGCAAACCCUCUUCCGGAGGGGCCACUGUGAUAAGAGAAACUGAGUCACAGAGAAGUUAGUAAGUUGCCCAGGGCCACACAGCUCUGAAGGAUCUGAGGCGGAAUUCCAAUUCAAGUCUUCCUGAUGCUCAGGCCAGCUCUCUAAUAACUACUAUACAAACAUCUCUGUACUAUGUCCUCCCACCAGAAUACAGGCUCUGCCUCUGGGGGCCUAAAUGCUAAUACGCUGAGCAUCCUGAAUUCCUUCAACUGAUCUUCAUAAAAGAUCCUCCAGUUUAUCAGUGACUCUCUUCAGGUCCUCCCCAAGGAGGGAUUGGAGACUAGGGGUUGGGGUUGUUGAUAUAAACAGUUUGAUUUAAAUUAAAUUAAAAAUAAAAAACAAUUUGAUUAAAAAUAUUCCAUAAUUCAUGGCCCCAUGUGAAACCUACUGAUUUGUCAAAGAAGAUUUGGAGUACUGGGCAGAGAAGAUUCACUUAUUUCUUAUCUAAUCAGUGAAGAUUCUUCUCUGUGUUAGGCAUCAUCUCAUAUUCAGGUCCUGAAUCCUUCUUUUUUUGCCCUCCAUCAUCAGAAGCCCCCUUCCUAGCCAGUUUCAUGUCUGCUACCACUAGGAAAAGAGGGUGCUUCGUUUUCAGAAAGUGUUCCAAACAUCAUUUGAUCGAGGAUGCUUGGAAGUCAGAAAACUGCAAACAACCUGCUGUAUCAUUCCCCAAGAAUCCAUAUUCCAAGGAAAACUGAACAUGUCACCCAUUUUGCAAGAGUAUGUGUCAAAAGAAAAAAGAGUAAAUAAAAACAUUGUUGGGUUUUGUCCUUCGUUUUCAAAGAGGACCAGUAAUGUCAUGGGGAGAUGUCUUGACUUGCUGAGGAAUUAGGUUUAAGGGAGGCAGUUACACAAAGCCAUUAGUCUCACUCUCUCUUCCAGGCAUCCAAGUCCAGUGGCAGGACAAAAGUCAAGCCAACUGGCAAUGGAUGGCCUGGGAUGUAGUGGAUGUCUUUGUUGUCUUCUAUUACUGGCCAAGCAAGCUCUAGGCUCCUCUGUGCCAGCAUCCGCCACCUUCACGGCUGCCAUCCACCCAUUCCCAUAAGGGGAAAUCUUCACGUGCUUGGGUAGUCAUCCCCCUAACUCACCAAUGGGUUUGAAGCCUGUUGGUUAUCCUCAACCUGGUUUCUGCCAAGAGGGUUUUAUUGGUGUGUGGCCACUACAUCUGAUUUAGCUUCCUAGUUGAGUGAAAAGUGGUCACCAAAGGCGCCCCACACCAGAGGUGCCCAUCCUUCCUGAACACCUCAAACCCCAUAAAACAAAUUAAU
Molecule: long non-coding RNA, 1774 nt
Organism: Monodelphis domestica (gray short-tailed opossum)
Lineage: Eukaryota; Metazoa; Chordata; Mammalia; Didelphimorphia; Didelphidae
Source: RefSeq, a predicted model, not a curated record